AGAGUUUGAUCAUGGCUCAGGAUGAACGCUAGCUACAGGCUUAACACAUGCAAGUCGAGGGGCAGCAUGUUGGUUGCUUGCAACCAAUGAUGGCGACCGGCGCACGGGUGAGUAACGCGUAUCCAACCUACCCUUGUCCAUCGGAUAACCCGUCGAAAGGCGGCCUAACACGAUAUGCGGUUCUCAGCAGGCAUCUAACGAGGACGAAAUGUGAAGGAGAAGGAUGGGGAUGCGUCUGAUUAGCUUGUGGCGGGUAACGCCACAAGGCGACGAUCAGUAGGGGUUCUGAGAGGAAGGUCCCCANAUUGGAACUGAGACACGGUCCAAACUCCUACGGGAGCA
Molecule: ribosomal RNA, 342 nt
Filed under: uncultured bacterium
Lineage: Bacteria
Description: bacterial SSU rRNA
Rfam family: Bacterial small subunit ribosomal RNA
Source: RNAcentral